This is a long non-coding RNA of Triplophysa dalaica, 4482 nucleotides long. RefSeq lists it as uncharacterized. NCBI's taxonomy places the organism in Eukaryota, Metazoa, Chordata, Actinopteri, Cypriniformes, Nemacheilidae. The record is from RefSeq and is a predicted model, not a curated record. The transcript has 3 exons.
CGCACAGACGCAAACAGAACGCGGGACGCAUGUACUUAUAUGGUAGCUCGUCUCUAUAUUUUUAAUCUCCCCUGUAUGAUGCCGUUUAAAUGAUGCAGUACCAGUACAAAUGAAGGCACUAUUUCAACGUGAAACCCACAUGCAUAACGUGGUUGACGUGCAGAAGUGAGCUACAGGAUGUGUUUGCCGGGAAAUGCAGACAUGUGACAGUUAGCUACAAUUUCCCGCGAAACAGACCUACGCAUCGAGUGAAGAAAUAUCACCACCUGUGUGGCAGUCCCCAUGCUAGCUAUACCAAUAAAUAAAAGAUGUAGACGACCUCUUCAGGAUGCUGAGCCUUACAUCACUUGUAGAACAGACAAGCCUGGGCUUCAAGAUCAAUUUAUCAUGGAAAUAUAAAGAAGCUGUUUAAAGCAAGAUUGUCAAACUGCAGCAACAACAUCAAGACUGCUUUAACAGGGCAGAAAUUGAACUGAGACACAUAAAGUCUGACACACAGUGUCACAGGAAGGUUGCAUGGUGAGUAAUAUGGUAACAUGAUCAUCACAUUAACUUUAACAACCCAAUACAUAUAACAUAUAACACUUACUACGACACAAAGCGACAAUAUGCGUUAGGUUCAUAGGUUUAUCAUUCAGACUUGCAGUCAUAUUAUAACGGAACUGUCACAUUCUGUAAUGCAAGUCAACACCUCAUAAAGCUGUUUCCAUUUACAUAUUUUUUCGUCUCUGUUGUCAAGACAGGAAACAAAAAUAAAAACGAACUACCCAUGUUACUACAUGUUAACAAUGAGUCACUUUUUAAACACUUUUAAAGUGUUAUCCUGAUUUAUAUUGCAACAUUAUCACCAUACAUCUAGAUUAAAGAGUAGUGGUUAUUUUCCCAUGUACUGCCUCCGCCAACAAACUUUGUUCAUGCAGCCAAACAGUCAGUAACAGUGACAGAUGCUUAACUUCUGUGUUGUACUCCUUGUUUAGUUUCAGUCAACGUUCAGUUUAGCUUGUCCACCGCGGAGACACUGCUCAAAAUAGAUGCUGAGAAAAUGACCUUUGAAAAGCUGUUCACCUUUUGGUCACUAAAUUGUCACCAGUAUGUGCGCGAGUGUGUCUGACACGGGACGUGAAUGGCAGGAUCGGUGGCUAAUUUUGGCCGUUAAUGUUAACAUCAUGACUGGUCGCCACAAUCAAAACAAUGCAUGGGAACCAGCUUCUGCAUUUGGUUGCAGUGUGUGACGUCCUAUGCAACUAUGGAGGACCACAAGAGUCUUGUGUAAAGUAAUUUCAUUGUUUAAUAACUAAUUCUACAAUAAAAAUAGGCAUUAAUCCAUUUGUUUUUAACUGUUUUUUUUAAUUCAAAAAUAAAUUGGUCAUUUAUUGAUUAAAGUCAUUUAUUAUAUAUUGUUUUAAUGGGCGAUAAAAAGCGUGAUUGUAAAAAUAAUUAAUGAAUGAAACAUGAAUCCAUCAAUAAAUACUUCAAAUUAAAAAGGGACUUUUAAAAAACAAUAUAAACCACGAAAUAAAUACAUUUACCAUUUGCAUUUGCAUUUCCCCGCUGCCUUUCCUUUUCCGAUUUGCUAUUCGAUUAGCUUAGACAUUUAGCUUUUCCUUUAAGCCUCUCUAUAUACCAUUUCCCUGACACUCUGGGGCCUUGCAUUGGUAAAACGUGGUCAAACAAUGCAAAUUAGCUAUGGAGAGAGACAUGUUAUAAGAUCUGAUUGACUAGAUCCUUGUACCACAUGUUCAGAGGUGUGUCAGAUGAGCAAUGGAGAAGAGAGGAUAGUCUGUUGUUCACUACAAGUGUAACCAGUGCGCUUAGACCGCCUACUUAUUCUCUAACAGAAAUCAUAGAAAAUGAAACUUAUUGUUUGAACAGGUUGGAACAUUCAUUCUGCACGUUGUUGCAGCAGUGCUGCGGUUAUUUUGGGCCGAGUCUAUUUAUGAUGCGAUGCUUACGCGCAGUUAACGUGACAUAAGAUACUGUGCUUAUGGCCAAAAUGCUUAAGGAUUCACGCGAAAUGUAACAGUUUUACCAUUAAUGCAUGUAACUGAUGUCAGCUGUGUUUUAAUCCGCCAACAUUGACUUUUUUAUGAUACCUCAAACACAUACCAUGGUGUGUAUUAUAUAUGCAUAAAGUGAAUGCUACUGUGUACUGUCUACAAGGACAGGAUUAAUAAGUGACGCUGGAAUUUUUUUCCAAGAGCAGCUUGGACAACCCCUCGCGUUUCAGCUCCCACUGGUUGCUCAUGAACAGUGGCCCACCGGUGCUGAGGGAAGCAACUGCAUCAUGCUGUCUAAUCUAGCAUAUAUUCUUUGUCACAAUCUAGACUCUUAAUAGAAGAUGUAGAUUUACCAUGAUCAAGAAUGCCAGCUUUUUGCUGAAGUUCAUCUUUCAAACAGAACAGCAUGGAAUGCAGUACUCAUCAGGUGAUUUUGCUUCCCUUAAAUAAGAUUAUUUUAGUGUUAGAAGUAACUUUUAUUGACAUAUGCACUUUAAAAUAUGAUUUUAUGGCUUUGUAAAUAAAACAAAAAAAUAUGUAAUUUUUGCAAAGAAUAAUUUGGUUGAAGUAAAAACUUUAAAUUAUUCAGUAAAAUCUACAUAUGUACUGAAUUUAAACUUGUAAAUAUUAGACACCCAACAGUCAAGUAAAUUUUACUUGUGAUUCUUUGACAAAUGUACAUGAAUUAAUAACGUACGUGUGGCAAUUUAGAAAAAUCAAGUAAAAUUUAGGCCGAGUCCAAGCAAUCUGCGCAUGCGCGAAAAAAGAAGAUAACCCGCCAUCAUCGCCAAGAACUUCUCUUCUUUCUUCGACAGGUAAGUAGUUGAAAAGGAAUUACAUUUUGGCAUAUUGGACUUAUUGUAUUUGGUUAAAUAAAUAAUAUUGAACAUCCGAGUUGUCACGACAGUAAUUCUCUAUAUUUUCUGCAUAUUUGGAAUGUUUGUAGUCUUCGGCGAUCUUUAUUCUAACGUUAGUAAAACGUCCUACGACAUCUUACAAUCUAGUUUUACAUAAAGACACAAUAAAGUGAAUUCGUUUGUUUCUUUACCUGUGUUAUAUGUUUUGUUCGAUUAGAUGUUAUUCGAUAUACGUAUGCUGUAUGGUCAUGCAGGGAUUCUUACGAUAUACCGUUAUAACGUUACACGACAUCUUGAAACCUUUUAAGUAAUACGUAAAGUGUAACCUUGAAUGUGUGAUUUGACACGUGAUAUACGACAUUAAAAAAAGUUAUUCAUGAAAACGUCUAAAACCCUUAAACGUCUGACUGGUGAUAUACGUGACGAGUAUUUCGACAGUCAUACAAGACCACAUCUACACCAGACGCGAGUGGCGUGAGCCAUGAUGCGUAAAAUGGCGAUUAUAAACUCUUUUCGCGUCUGAUGUUAAAAAUAGUAAGACGGAUUUGAACAUGUCAUUAUAGAUUGCGGUUUCGUUUUAUCACGUGUGUAUGUGUAAUCUCUUUCUGGGUGCUGCAAUUAACGUAAAAUACCCGUAUUCUUUUGUUUAACCUUGUUUGUUUCAGUGAUGUGAAUUCAAAUAUGAAUAUUUGGUUUAUAUAUAUAGUAUUUUACAGUUUACUAAUUACUUCUUUUUAUGUUUCCUUAAUAGCAGAUUAUAUCUGGAUCCAGUCCAGUGUGUUAUACUUGUUCCAGAUCACUUGAAAGGAACCAAACACAAUUCAUUUUUGUCUUCAGUCCACAUUGGGGUACAGUAAAUGAAUCAAACUCUUAAGUAUGACUGAACUUUGUUCAGUAUGUGGUUAUGCAAGAAAUGUGCCUUUACUGCAUUAAAAAGAGCAGAACUCCUGAAACAUUACAGACUGAAACACUGGCACAGCAUGCAAAACCACUCAAUUCUUUGACUGAUUUAUGCCUUCAAUCUAAAGUAUCCGUCAGAUCUGAAAUACACUUUUGAGAUUUUUCAGAAACUGUUUCUGGAUCUCGAUGGACUUAAGCUUUCUCCUAAAGUACAGUCAUUGAAAACCAAGCUGCACACUUGAAAUGUGUGAAAUGUACUGUCUUGUUUUAUUAAUCUGUUUUGUUUACCAAACUGCUGGCGGAUGCAGAUUGAUUGUUAGUGUUCAAAUGUUUACAAAUGUUCAUGUUUACAUUCACUGUAUAUUGGCUGUAUGUACAUUUUAUAUGCUAACAAGGGUUCUAGAGUCUUUUCUGUAAGGGAUGUUUUUUGUUAGUUUAAAUUACAUUCAAAUUAUUAUUUGCCCAUGGACUUGCUGAGUGUGCUUGGUAGGCAGGUUUAUUGUGUAACAGCAGUCUUUGUUAUUCAAGUUAAGAUUCUGUCCGGUCUUUGCAAAAGUGUAGAUUCUUACAAUAUGUGAGCAAAUGUCUAUAUGCAUUGAUUUUAAGGAUUGUUAUGGAUCUUAAAGAUCUUCAAUUUCUGUAAUUGCGUGUUAUUUGGUAAAAAUAAGCUCUCAAUAAAUAGAUCUUGAUAGCACAUUUGUUGUCACAGUGACUUAUUUUAUUUGACU